UACAGAGGGUGCAAGCGUUAAUCGGAAUUACUGGGCGUAAAGGGCGCGUAGGUUGUAGAUUAAGUGAGAUGUGAAAUCCCUGGGCUUAACCUAGGAACUGCAUCUCAUACUGGUAAACUAGAGUAUUGUAGAGGGUAGUGGAAUUUCCGGUGUAGCGGUGAAAUGCGUAGAGAUCGGAAGGAACACCAGUGGCGAAGGCGGCUACCUGGACAAAUACUGACACUGAAGCGCGAGAGCGUGGGGAGCAAACAGG
This 253-nucleotide ribosomal RNA is filed under the name uncultured bacterium. RNAcentral describes it as "partial 16S ribosomal RNA". It matches the Rfam family "Bacterial small subunit ribosomal RNA", at positions 524 to 776 of the family's 1533-position model. The record is from RNAcentral.